CAUGUUUCAGUUAAGUAACACACCACCUUUCUUUUUUACUUAAGUUACUUAUCCUCUCUCCAUUUCUUAAUUAUCAUGAUUCUUUGGGUAUUUUUUAUUUAUUUAUGUGUCUUUUCCUCCUUCUGGUUGAUAGAACCUUUAUCAAUGAAGGGUUUGACAUUAAAUUGCAUGGAUUGUAAAUUUGAAGCAUAUGAAGUGGUUUGCCAAGGAUUGAAGAGCAUCAAAAGCUAUUGAAAUUCUGGAAGCAUAUGAAGGGGCAUUAAAAGAUUAUCCUCCAGAAAGUGAACGGAUUGAGCAUGGGGAAAUGCUUUUAUAUAUAAGGUUGUUGCAUGGAGUUUUGUUCCUGGUAAGCAACUGGAGCAAAAGAAAAGAAAGAAGAUUGUCAAUCCUACUACACCUGUUGUAUUGUUUACCCGUUUUUGAAAUAUUUUAGUUUAUAUGAUCAUGUACAAUGUGUGUAUAUAUUAUACUCAUAUUUUCUAUAAAGUAAAACCUUUGGUUUAUACAUUAUAAUUAAAAUUUUAAUGUUAAGAUUUUGUUUUCCGAAGAA
Long non-coding RNA from Cicer arietinum (chickpea), 550 nucleotides. RefSeq lists it as uncharacterized. The record is from RefSeq and is a predicted model, not a curated record. Lineage: Eukaryota; Viridiplantae; Streptophyta; Magnoliopsida; Fabales; Fabaceae.